CCUACGGGUGGCUGCAGUAGGGAAUAUUGCUCAAUGGGGGAAACUCUGAAGCAGCAACGCCGCGUGGAGGAUGAAGGCUUUCUGAUUGUAAACUCCCUUUGUUAGAGAAGAUAACCACGGUACCUAACGAAUAAUCACCGGCUAACUCCGUUCCAGCAGCCGAGGUAAUACGGAGGGUGCAAGCGUUACUCGGAAUCACUGGGCGUAAAGCGCGCGUAGGCGGGUUAGCAAGUCAGAUGUGAAAUGCUUGGGCUUAACCAUAGAAAUGCAUUUGAUACUGUUAGUCUAGAGAAUGGGCGAGGUAGGUGGAAUGCUUGGUGUAGGGGUAAAAUCCGUAGAGAUCAAGAAGAAUACUCAUUGCGAAGGCGGCCUGCUAGAACAUAGCUGACGCUGAGGCGCGAAAGCGUGGGGAGCAAACAGGAUUAGAUACCCGUGUAGUC
Molecule: ribosomal RNA, 440 nt
Filed under: uncultured bacterium
Lineage: Bacteria
Description: partial 16S ribosomal RNA
Rfam family: Bacterial small subunit ribosomal RNA
Source: RNAcentral